RNAcentral lists this long non-coding RNA (247 nucleotides) under Medicago truncatula (barrel medic). RNAcentral's name for it is "long non-coding RNA (MTRU_LNC005729)". The record is from RNAcentral. Lineage: Eukaryota; Viridiplantae; Streptophyta; Magnoliopsida; Fabales; Fabaceae.
AUCAGACUUUGCUCCCUAAGAAGGUUGGAAAGGGAAAAGGAGAAAUUGGAUCUGCGUCUCAAGAAUUCUAGGGUUUCUGGGUUCUGUUCUAGCAGAAAUGAAAUGUAGCACUCUGAUGAAGUGAAUGGUUUUGUACUGCACUUAGUUGAAUAUGAAUGGAAAACAUUAUGAAUAUAUACAUGUAGCUUCUAUUAAGCUUUUAUUGUUCAUUCGCUUUAAUCUGUAAUCUGUGGUUGUUGAUACUUGA